RNAcentral lists this small RNA (98 nucleotides) under Mytilus galloprovincialis (Mediterranean mussel). The record is from RNAcentral. Lineage: Eukaryota; Metazoa; Mollusca; Bivalvia; Mytilida; Mytilidae.
AAGCUUGGCCUUCGUAAAACGUAGAUUUUACUGUCGCAAAUUGAGUUUACCUUGCGACAGUAAAAUCAAGUUUUACGAAGGCCAAGCUUAAAAUACAA